This 468-nucleotide ribosomal RNA is filed under the name uncultured bacterium. Its description in RNAcentral is "partial 16S ribosomal RNA". It matches the Rfam family "Bacterial small subunit ribosomal RNA", at positions 28 to 507 of the family's 1533-position model. The record is from RNAcentral.
GACGAACGCUGGCGGCGUGCUUAACACAUGCAAGUCGAACGGAAAGGCCCUGCUUUUGUGGGGUGCUCGAGUGGCGAACGGGUGAGUAACACGUGAGUAACCUGCCCUUGACUUUGGGAUAACUUCAGGAAACUGGGGCUAAUACCGGAUAGGAGCUCCUGCUGCAUGGUGGGGGUUGGAAAGUUUCGGCGGUUGGGGAUGGACUCGCGGCUUAUCAGCUUGUUGGUGGGGUAGUGGCUUACCAAGGCUUUGACGGGUAGCCGGCCUGAGAGGGUGACCGGCGACAUUGGGACUGAGAUACGGCCCAGACUCCUACGGGAGGCAGCGGUGGGGAAUAUUGCACAGUGGGCGGAAGCCUGAUGCAGCAACGCCGCGUGCGGGAUGACGGCCUUCGGGUUGUAAACCGCUUUCGCCUGUGACGAAGCGUGAGUGACGGUAAUGGGUAAAGAAGCACCGGCUAACUACGUG